GACGAACGCUGGCGGCGUGCCUAAUACAUGCAAGUCGAGCGAAGUUUUUCUGGUGCUUGCACUAGAAAAACUUAGCGGCGAACGGGUGAGUAACACGUAAAGAACCUGCCUCAUAGACUGGGACAACUAUUGGAAACGAUAGCUAAUACCGGAUAACAGCAUUAACUGCAUGGUUGAUGUUUGAAAGUUGGUUUUGCUAACACUAUGAGAUGGCUUUGCGGUGCAUUAGCUAGUUGGUGGGGUAAAGGCCUACCAAGGCGACGAUGCAUAGCCGACCUGAGAGGGUGAUCGGCCACACUGGGACUGAGACACGGCCCAGACUCCUACGGGAGGCAGCAGUAGGGAAUCUUCCGCAAUGGGCGAAAGCCUGACGGAGCAACGCCGCGUGAGUGAAGAAGGAUUUCGAUUCGUAAAGCUCUGUUGUUAGGGAAGAAUGAUUAUGUAGUAACUAUACAUAGUAGAGACGGUACCUAACCAGAAAGCCAC
RNAcentral lists this ribosomal RNA (486 nucleotides) under Gemella morbillorum. Its description in RNAcentral is "bacterial SSU rRNA". It matches the Rfam family "Bacterial small subunit ribosomal RNA", at positions 28 to 494 of the family's 1533-position model. Lineage: Bacteria; Bacillati; Bacillota; Bacilli; Caryophanales; Gemellaceae. The record is from RNAcentral.